UAAUAACGCUAGGUUCUCUCCAGCAGUUGACACAUCAGAUUUUAAAAUGCAUAUGAGAGUGACAUGUCAAUAAAUGAAAAAAAUUUAGAGAACCAAUCAGUUCAUUUCAUUAUAUCCACGUACAUUUACUCCCUUCCACCUCGGAUUCUUAUCUCUUCCAUCCUAGCUCAACAAUGGCGAAUUCAAUGGCCACGCUUUCCAGAAGACUCUACCGAUCUCUCCUAUCCAACCCCAGAUUCUCCCAAUUUCCCAGAUCUUCCUGCACCAACAACAACAACAUCGACGAGUCGUCAUCAUCCUCCUCCAUCUCAGACACCGAAUCGCCCCACGAACCCAACGGUUCGGAUCCGAACCAUCGAUUCUCCGGUGAUGAUCGCGUGAUGGAGGAGCGUCCUCUCGACAACGGCCUCGACUCCGGCAUUUUCUCCUCUCCCCCGGAUAAUUUCAAUCCCUAAAUCCUUUUCUCCUGCAAGUAGGGGAGGAUGUGGAAGAAACUUUGCAGAGCUUCACUUCCAAGCUUGGAUUUUCACCGAUCUCUUCACCGGCAAGACCAAUCCCACCUUACGGAAAGCAAAGUCGGCAAAGGUUAUCUCUUUGAUUUGGAGUUUGCAGAGAGACUACCUGUGAUGGCCGGCGAAUCAGAGACGAAAACGGAAGAGAUAGAGUGUGUCUAACCAGUGGGUGCUGGUCAGAUAGGUUCAAGAAUCGCACAGCUCGCCGCCACGAACGGCCUUGACGUUAGGCGCAUCCCUCUCAAGCCACCACAGCUAUCUCUUCCUCAGCUAUCUCUUCCUCCGUCAAUCGUUUCUUCUCCAAAGGCCUAAUCACCACCAAAGCAAGAUUCAAUUGAUUAUCCUUAAAAGAAUAUACUUUCCUCAUGGGAACUUAUUACAAAUGAUAUCAUUCAUGCCGUCGUCGAGGGUUUCAAGUUAAUAGAGACUUUGGCAAGACAAACAUGAACGUUCAUGGUACAGGUCCCAUACAUUCUUCAGAAUGGUGAUUGAGAGCAGGGGAAACGAAAACACUUCUAGAGAUGCUUUUUAGUCUUGAAUUUGGUUGACUUUGCUGGAUCUUUGCGAAUUGCUAAAACUGGCGCUGGUGGAGUUCGCUUGAUGUAAGGAAAUACAUAAAUAAGAGCUUAAUGAUUCUUGGCAAUGUCAUAAUAAGUUCAAAGCUAAGCGCACAUAUUCUGAAUCGAGAUAGUAAGCUCAUUGGAAUUCUUCAGCCUGCGCUUGGUGGUAAUGCGAAGACUUGCAUUAUAUGCACUAUAGCAACAUCAAAGCUUCUCUUGGUGCAACUGAAAUCACAACGAGCCUUCUUUCAACUCUAGAUUCAUAGUUCUCAAAGAUAAUGGAUUGUCAGAAAGCUGGUAACAACGUAGAGCAUCCUUUAUCUGAUCAAUGGGAAACACUUCGUGUGAGUCUGAAGAAUACAACCUCAUCGUUGGUGUCAUACAUACAAACACCAUGUGAAAUUCUUAACUCCCAAGAAAAGCCUGUCAUAUCUAAGACAGGUUUUGAAUGUGAUUUGAAGGGACAAGAAACAACUGCUCUGGAGGCGGAGAAGCUGAAGUCUGAGCUCCGCAUUGAGGAAAGAUAUAGCGACCUGUUGAAAGAGUCAUCUUUGGAUAAACAGCUUCUAGAAGCUUCAAAAGAGAGCCAUGAGAGACUCGAAAAGGAGGUACAAUUCUUAAAGGAAGAAAGAGAUUCAUUAGAUGUAACAGUCUCUCAAUCUACUCACGGGAUGAGAGUGAUUACAUCUGAUAAAGAGAAUGCUCUGAAAGAUCUUCAUGUGGAAUUGAAGAGAAGGGAAUAUAUGGAGAAAGAGAUUAAGCAAAUCAGCUUCGCUUUCUUCUAGCAGGCAGAGAUCUCUUAUGUGUUUUCACGAUGAAACAAAAUCCAAAAUGCAGAAAUUAAUGACGCAGAAUCUAAACUGAAAUAGUAGAAACAGUUUUUUGUGUUAAAGUUUAAUUUUUUCACUCGAGGUUUAAUGUUUUCACUAUAACAUUAGAUAAUGAUGAUUAUAAAGCUUAUGUACAACACUCUGUAUUGUACCCCAAACUUAUUUAACCAUGUCUAAUCAAAAUAAACUGUGUAUAAAUUAAAUUAAGAUGUUACUAAACAUGUGUUAAUCAGCUAAUGGAAAAUGAUACAAUCUUU
Raphanus sativus (radish) is the source of this 2159-nucleotide long non-coding RNA. RefSeq lists it as uncharacterized. The transcript is spliced from 7 exons. Lineage: Eukaryota; Viridiplantae; Streptophyta; Magnoliopsida; Brassicales; Brassicaceae. The record is from RefSeq and is a predicted model, not a curated record.